GAAAUGCGAUAAGUAAUGUGAAUUGCAGAAUUCAGUGAAUCAUCGAAUCUUUGAACGCACCUUGUGCUCCUUGGUAUUCCUUGGAGCAUGCCUGUUUGAGUAUCAUGAAAUCUUCAAAGUAAAUCUUUUGUUAACUCAAUUGGUUUCUACUUUGGUAUUGGAGGUCUUUGCAGCUUCACACCUGCUCCUCUUUGUUCAUUAGCUGGAUCUCAGUGUUAUGCUUGGUUCCACUCGGCGUGAUAAGUUAUCUAUCGCUGAGGACACUGUAAAAGGUGGCCAAGGUAAAUGCAAAUGAACCGCUUCUAAUAGUCCAUUGACUUGGACAAUACUUUUAUGAUCUGAUCUCAAAUCAGGUAGGACUACCCGCUGAACUUAAGC
RNAcentral lists this unclassified non-coding RNA (378 nucleotides) under plant metagenome. Its description in RNAcentral is "partial contains 5.8S ribosomal RNA, internal transcribed spacer 2, and large subunit ribosomal RNA". The stretch from base 1 to 105 matches the Rfam family "5.8S ribosomal RNA", at positions 50 to 154 of the family's 154-position model. The record is from RNAcentral.